GGAAUCAUUUAGUAAAUCAUGUAAAUGGAUUCAUUUAGUAAAUAAUUUCAAUGGAAUCAUUGUGGUCUCACUGUGAACUGUGUCUGUUGUUCUAUAGAGCUGUAUGGACCCUCACUCCUCAUCACACAAACCAACAACAGUCACACCACUCUGUCCUGUUCUGCUACUGGACGACCUGUUCCUAUAGUAACCUGGGACAACACAGACAUUCUAGAAAAUUCCACAAUGGCCAAUGUCACCCAUCUCAAUGGAACUGUCACGGUCACCAUAACUUCUACGCUGGCAGCAUUCAGUCUACCUGACAAAGACACCAGGGUUGGCUGUAUGGUGUCACUGUUCUCUGGAGGUGUCACCAAGAACGUAUCCAUGGUUAUUCCAGCUAGAACUCAAGCUUCAUUUCCUGAUGUACCUGAGGUCACUGAUGGUGACAGGAUCAGAGUGAUUGGUGCAGUGAUGAGUUCACUGUGUUUCAUUGCUGUGUGCUGUGGAGCUGCUGUGGCACUGUGGUGCAAACUGAGAAAUACAACGAGAAGCCAAUGACAGAGAACAGGAAGAACCAUCAACACUCAACCCUCAACAUGAUGACUCUGAAACAAGUAAACAGUGUUUGUACUUACUGUAGGUAAUAGAUUAGAAAACAUUGAAUUGCUUUUCAGUAUCAAAUGUCCUCCCUGGAGAAUAUGUAACUGUAAAUACCCACAAUGCUGUUAUAUCAGUACACUACUACAACAUGAUCUGACUCUGAUCAGUAUCAUUGAUGUUAAUAUCUUUCAAGACCACAACAAUAUCCAGUACAUUCAAAAUACA
This is a long non-coding RNA of Oncorhynchus nerka (sockeye salmon), 807 nucleotides long. RefSeq lists it as uncharacterized. The transcript has 4 exons. The record is from RefSeq and is a predicted model, not a curated record. Lineage: Eukaryota; Metazoa; Chordata; Actinopteri; Salmoniformes; Salmonidae.